RNAcentral lists this ribosomal RNA (1477 nucleotides) under metagenome. RNAcentral describes it as "bacterial SSU rRNA". It matches the Rfam family "Bacterial small subunit ribosomal RNA". The record is from RNAcentral.
AGAGUUUGAUCCUGGCUCAGGAUGAACGCUAGCGGCAGGCCUAACACAUGCAAGUCGAGGGGUAUAAGUAGCAAUACUUCGAGACCGGCGCACGGGUGAGUAACGCGUAUGCAACCUACCUUAUACUGAGGGAUAGCUCAGGGAAACCUGAAUUAAUACCUCAUAAAGCAGGGGUACCACCUGGUACUAUUUGCUAAAGAUUUAUCGGUAUGAGAUGGGCAUGCGUGCCAUUAGCUAGUUGGUAGGGUAACGGCCUACCAAGGCGACGAUGGCUAGGGGGUCUGAGAGGAUGAUCCCCCACACUGGUACUGAGACACGGACCAGACUCCUACGGGAGGCAGCAGUGAGGAAUAUUGGUCAAUGGGGGCAACCCUGAACCAGCCAUGCCGCGUGAAGGAUGACUGCCCUAAGGGUUGUAAACUUCUUUUAUACAGGGGUAAUUUUCGGUUUGCGAACCGGAUUGAAAGUACUGUAUGAAUAAGCGUCGGCUAACUACGUGCCAGCAGCCGCGGUAAUACGUAGGACGCAAGCGUUAUCCGGAUUUAUUGGGUUUAAAGGGUGCGUAGGCGGAUUUAUAAGUCAGUGGUGAAAUAUUGUCGCUUAACGAUAAGAUUGCCAUUGAUACUGUAAAUCUUGAGCACAAUUGAGGUAGGCGGAAUGUGUAGUGUAGCGGUGAAAUGCUUAGAUAUUACACAGAACACCGAUUGCGAAGGCAGCUUACUAAAUUGUUACUGACGCUGAGGCACGAAAGCGUGGGGAUCAAACAGGAUUAGAUACCCUGGUAGUCCACGCCGUAAACGAUGAUCACUGGUUGUUAGCGAUACACUGUUAGCGACUGAGCGAAAGCAUUAAGUGAUCCACCUGGGGAGUACGUCGGCAACGAUGAAACUCAAAGGAAUUGACGGGGGCCCGCACAAGCGGAGGAACAUGUGGUUUAAUUCGAUGAUACGCGAGGAACCUUACCUGGGCUCGAACGUGAGAGGAAUUAUGUUGAAAGAUGUAAGCUAGCAAUAGCCUCUUACGAGGUGCUGCAUGGUUGUCGUCAGCUCGUGCCGUGAGGUGUCGGCUUAAGUGCCAUAACGAGCGCAACCCUUAUUGUUAGUUGCCAGCGGGUUAAGCCGGGGACUCUAACAAAACUGCCAGCGUAAGCUGUGAGGAAGGUGGGGAUGACGUCAAAUCAGCACGGCCCUUACGUCCAGGGCUACACACGUGUUACAAUGGUCGGUACAGAGGGCAGCUACUCCGCGAGGAGAUGCUAAUCUCAAAAACCGAUCUCAGUUCGGAUUGGAGUCUGCAACUCGACUCCAUGAAGUUGGAUUCGCUAGUAAUCGCGCAUCAGCCAUGGCGCGGUGAAUACGUUCCCGGGCCUUGUACACACCGCCCGUCAAGCCAUGGAAGCCGGGGGUAUCUGAAGUACGUGACCGCAAGGAGCGUCCUAGGGUAAAACUGGUAACUGGGGCUAAGUCGUAACAAGGUA